GAUAUCUGUGACUCGGUGGGCUUCUUAUGGCAUCCACCAAUCUUCCGCCAAUCAUGAUGGAUCAUCUCUAUUCCAUGGAUAACAUCUUAAAGCUGAAGGGCCCCUUUUGCUGCUCCAAGAAGUCCGUGAGAAUCCUAUUGUAGGUGAUGAGUUGCCACCUGAAACUACCCCCAUAAUUGAACCUGCCUCCAUAUCCAGGUGCUGCAUUAAGAAAGGCCUUUUUUCGGCUGUCCCUUUAUUAUUUCAAUAUCCUUGCAGCAUCAGUAAAGGUUGGUCAGAGUGGGUUGACCGCGAUUUGCUAGAACCGUCUACUUGGAACAUUUUGCGCAGGGCACAGGUUCUUGACGCCAUUUUCCUUUCCAAGCUGUGG
This 370-nucleotide long non-coding RNA is filed under the name Prunus dulcis (almond). Its description in RNAcentral is "sRNA ncRNA". Lineage: Eukaryota; Viridiplantae; Streptophyta; Magnoliopsida; Rosales; Rosaceae. The record is from RNAcentral.